GACGAACGCUGGCGGCGUGCUUAACACAUGCAAGUCGAACGGUGAAGCGCCUUCCUUUUUGGUGGGUGUGGAUGAGUGGCGAACGGGUGAGUAACACGUGAGUAACCUGCCCCCUUCUUCUGGAUAACCGCAUGAAAGUGUGGCUAAUACGGGAUAUUCUGGGUCUGUCGCAUGAUGGGUCUGGGAAAGAUAUUGUUUCGGUGGGGGAUGGGCUCGCGGCCUAUCAGCUUGUUGGUGGGGUGAUGGCCUACCAAGGCGGUGACGGGUAGCCGGCCUGUGAGGGUGGCCGGUCACACGGGGACUGAGACACGGCCCAGACUCCUACGGGAGGCAGCAGUGGGGAAUAUUGCACAAUGGGCGCAAGCCUGAUGCAGCGACGCCGCGUGAGGGAUGGAGGCCUUCGGGUUGUGAACCUCUUUCGCCAGUGAAGCAGGCCUGCCUCGUUUGUGGGUGGGUUGACGGUAGCUGGAGAAGAAGCGCCGGCUAACUACGUG
RNAcentral lists this ribosomal RNA (494 nucleotides) under uncultured bacterium. RNAcentral describes it as "partial 16S ribosomal RNA". It matches the Rfam family "Bacterial small subunit ribosomal RNA", at positions 28 to 507 of the family's 1533-position model. The record is from RNAcentral.